ACACUGGSRMUKCGYARCRUGCCUAMYRCWWRCAAGUCGAGCGGACAGAUGGGAGSUUGCUCCCUGAUGUUAGCGGCGGACGGGWGRGUAACACGUGGGUAACCUGCCUGUAAGACUGGGAUAACUCCGGGAAACCGGGGCUAAUACCGGAUGCUUGUUUGAACCGCAUGGUUCAAACAUAAAAGGUGGCUUCGGCUACCACUUACAGAUGGACCCGCGGCGCAUAGCUAGUUGGUGAGGUAACGGCUCACCAAGGCAACGAUGCGUAGCCGACCUGAGAGGGUGAUCGGCCACACUGGGACUGAGACACGGCCCAGACUCCUACGGGAGGCAGCAGUAGGGAAUCUUCCGCAAUGGACGAAAGUCUGACGGAGCAACGCCGCGUGAGUGAUGAAGGUUUUCGGAUCGUAAAGCUCUGUUGUUAGGGAAGAACAAGUACCGUUCRAAUAGGGCGGUACCUUGACGGUACCUAACCAGAAAGCCACGGCUAACUACGUGCCAGCAGCCGCGGUAAUACGUAGGUGGCAAGCGUUGUCCGGAAUUAUUGGGCGUAAAGGGCUCGCAGGCGGUUUCUUAAGUCUGAUGUGAAAGCCCCCGGCUCAACCGGGGAGGGUCAUUGGAAACUGGGGAACUUGAGUGCAGAAGAGGAGAGUGGAAUUCCACGUGUAGCGGUGAAAUGCGUAGAGAUGUGGAGGAACACCAGUGGCGAAAGCGACUCUCUGGUCUGUAACUGACGCUAGGAGCGAAAGCGUGGGGAGCGAACAGGAUUAGAUACCCUGGUAGUCCACGCCGGUAACGAUGAGUGCUAAGUGUUAGGGGGUUUCCSGCCCCUUAGUGCUGCRGCUAACSCAUAAGCACUCCGCCUGGGGGAGUACGGUCGCAAGACUGAAACUCAAGGAAUUGAACGGGGGCCCGCACAAGCGUGGAGCAGGUGGUUUAAUUCGAAGCAACGCGAARACCUUACCAGGGUCUGACAUCCUCUGACAUCUAAGAGAWGAACGUUCCCGUCGGGCAAAGUGGACUGGUGGUGCAAGUUGUCGCUCAGCUCGGUUCUGAGUUGUAAGUUCCGYACCRRGGCCACCCUUKAGA
RNAcentral lists this ribosomal RNA (1089 nucleotides) under Bacillus subtilis. RNAcentral describes it as "partial 16S ribosomal RNA". The record is from RNAcentral. Lineage: Bacteria; Bacillati; Bacillota; Bacilli; Caryophanales; Bacillaceae.